AUCCAGCACGUAGUAGGCAAUCACCACUGAUUAAAUAAAUGAAUCAAUUCAGUGAAUGAAUGAACUCAUUAGGCACUCUUCAUUUUACUUUCCCUUCUAAUUGAUCAAUCAGCACUCAUUAAUAUCUCACUGCCAUUCUUAUCUUUUAUUUAGAAAAAUUACUGUCCUGUUCUGAAAUUAUCAAAUUACUAAUAUACUAUCAUUAACAAUUGCUAUGACAAAGUUUUCUCACUGCAAACUAUCCAAUGAACAUUUGUUAUUUACUAGCAGAAUGUGGCUUUAUGCUUGCUCUUACAAGUUUAAUAAUAGGUAAUAUAUAUAUUUUGACACAUUGUAGAUCUCAGCAACUGGGACCUAGUAGACAUAAUUCAAUCUAACCAAACACUCAUUAUGUACAACACUCCAUGGCAUGAGCCUUGUACAUAAAAGAUCAACAUACAAAUUCCCAGAAAUCCCUCAAGCGAUAUAAAAGUGUUUAAACUAUGAUUACACUAAAAAAAUAACAAGCAUUGUAUGACAUUUUCUGAAAAACUGUAGGUUGUUUUUAAAAAGUUAUCCAUGUUAAUCUAGGUUCUCUACAAAACAGAUGGCAAGAUGGCAUUAAGUCUGAAAGAGAUUUAUUAGAGGAGAUAUCUGUGAAUUAUGAAGGAGGGGAGUAGGUAGGGUUUGACACCUGUGAAGGAGAGAGUGAAGGAAAGGAGAAUGGGGUAGGAAGAAUCUCAGACAGUAGCAUGUUUCUAAGAAAAUUCUGGGCAAUCUAAUGGGAAAUCCUUGAGCCAAUGUUGCCCAUCAGGGGACUGGGUCAGUGUUAAUAGUCCUGCCAUUCUCACUCAUUGGCUGGGAACAGCAGGAAUACAGUGGUAGAUCCCAUGGGGUAGCAGCUAGGGUUCUGUCAACUCUGCUUCUCACAGGAGGAGAUCUGGGUGAUGCAUUUCCAUGGCUACCGCAUCAUCUUUUGUAGGUACCAAAUUGAUAGUCUUCAAAUUUUUCAUGAAUGUUUGAUAGACAUACAGACCACAAGUGUUUUCAUGUCACCAAAUUUUACCUAUAUAUUUGAUACUGUAAUGAAACAUGUUACUACUAACAGAGGUUAAGAGUUAUCUUAAUACAACACUUUGGUUGUUAUAUAUUUUAGAUUAGCUUUUGAAGUAUAUAAGUUGUCUUUUUUCUAUUGCACAUCAUGAUAGUUAGUGUAGAACACAAGCAAAACUAUACAACGAAAAUUUAACAUACUAUUUUUCUUUUUUUCUUUU
This 1253-nucleotide long non-coding RNA is filed under the name Homo sapiens (human). Its description in RNAcentral is "HSALNT0108204". The record is from RNAcentral. Lineage: Eukaryota; Metazoa; Chordata; Mammalia; Primates; Hominidae.